CGAAAGCCUGACGGAGCAACGCCGCGUGAGGGAUGAAGGCCUCUGGGCUGUAAACCUCUUUUAUCAAGGAAGAAGAUCUGACGGUACUUGAGGAAUAAGCCACGGCUAAUUCCGUGCCAGCAGCCGCGGUAAUACGGGAGUGGCAAGCGUUAUCCGGAAUCAUUGGGCGUAAAGCGUCCGCAGGCGGCCUUGAAAGUCUGUCGUUAAAGCGUGGAGCUUAACUCCAUUUCAGCGAUGGAAACUACAAGGCUUGAGUGUGGUAGGGGCAGAGGGAAUUCCCGGUGUAGCGGUGAAAUGCGUAGAUAUCGGGAAGAACACCAGUGGCGAAGGCGCUCUGCUGGGCCAUAACUGACGCUCAUGGACGAAAGCCAGGGGAGCG
RNAcentral lists this ribosomal RNA (379 nucleotides) under uncultured cyanobacterium. RNAcentral's name for it is "bacterial SSU rRNA". It matches the Rfam family "Bacterial small subunit ribosomal RNA", at positions 376 to 770 of the family's 1533-position model. The record is from RNAcentral. Lineage: Bacteria; Bacillati; Cyanobacteriota.